This 5241-nucleotide ribosomal RNA is filed under the name Triticum aestivum (bread wheat). Its description in RNAcentral is "partial small subunit ribosomal RNA". The record is from RNAcentral. Lineage: Eukaryota; Viridiplantae; Streptophyta; Magnoliopsida; Poales; Poaceae.
AUGCGUCAAUCCAAUCACUGCCGCCCCUUCCGCCCGCCGGACUGGGGUUCUCCGCCUCCGCACUGCCGCCCGCACCACCAGCAGAGCCACCGCCAGCCGCAAUCGGCCCCGCGGUUCGCCGUCAUCCUCUUCCGCGCGGGCCCCAACAUCUCCACCCCGACCGCCACUGAGAUUGACGCGCUCGUCGCCGAUCUCCCCUCGCCGCCCCCCGACAACCUCUCCGUAUUCUCCUCCGGCCGCGACGCCGCUCGCCUCCUCUUCCGCUUCCUUCCCGCCGCCGCGGCCGCAGCGCGCGAGCUCUGGUCGCUCCGCCUCGAGGGCCUCCACCUCCUCACGCCCUACCUCCCCAAUGCCGCGCUUGCCGCCCACGCCUUCCCACUCAUCGCCUCUCUCUUCGCCUCCCACGCCUCCCGCCUCCUCGACACCGACCUCGUUUCCCGUUCUGCCGCCCGCUCUGCUGAGCUCGCAGCCUCCAUCCAGUCUCUGGAACACCGCCUGCGCAGUCGCAAUUCCGUCCGCGACUUCGACCAGCUCCAUCUCCAGAAGAAAACAUUGGAGGCCGAGAAGGACUUGGUAGAUGCCAAAAUUGCCGAGUACAAAGCAUCAAUGAGUUCCAUACGGCGUGCCAUGUUACGUGGGACCGAUGAUGAGGAGGAGGAGGGGGUGGAUGUGUUUGGGAUUGGGGAACGCGAGGAUGUGGACUUCGCGAGGUUGCACAUGAUGAUGCUUCGUGAAUGCAGGAGACUCAACGAGGGGCUACCAAUUUAUGCAUACCGCAGAAAAAUUCUCAAUCACAUUUUUAAUAAUCAGGUUAUGAUCUUAAUUGGGGAGACUGGUUCUGGGAAAAGCACACAGUUAGUUCAGUUUCUUGCUGACUCAGGUCUUGCUGCUAAUGGCUCAAUUGUCUGUACUCAACCUCGAAAAAUUGCUGCCACGUCAUUGGCACGUAGAGUGGAUGAAGAAAGCAACGGCUGCUACGAAGACAAUUUCGUGUUGUCAUAUUCAACCUUUUUAAAUUCUCAAGACCUCAAUUCGAAGAUCAUAUUUUGCACAGAUAGUUGUCUUUUACAUCACUGCAUGAACGACACGGGCCUGGAUGGCAUUUCAUAUAUCAUUGUUGAUGAAGCUCAUGAAAGAAGCUUGAACACUGAUCUUCUUUUAGCCUUGAUCAAGAAGAAGCUGCUUGAUAGGUUGGAUUUGCAUCUCAUUAUAAUGUCUGCCACUGCUGAUGCUGACAAACUUGCUGACUACUUUUAUGGCUGUCAAACAUUCCAUGUUAAAGGGCGAAAUUUUCCUGUUGAAAUUAAUUAUGUCCCAGAUGUAUCAGUGGAGGCUUCCUCCAAUGCUGUGCCAAACUCUAUGUGUGAUGCUUGUGCAACUGCUUCUUAUGUCAAUGAUGUUGUAAGGAUGGUAAGCAUCAUUCACAAGAAUGAAGAAGAGGGUGCUGUCCUUGCUUUCUUGACAUCUCAGCUGGAAGUUGAAUGGGCUUGUGAAAAUUUCAGCGAUGCAAGUGCCGUGGUACUUCCUAUGCAUGGAAAGCUUUCCCAUGUAGAACAGAGCCGUGUUUUUAAAAGCUAUCCUGGAAAGAGAAAAAUUAUCUUCUGCACGAAUAUGGCUGAAACAUCACUGACAAUAAAAGAAGUAAAGUAUGUUGUUGAUUCUGGACUAGCCAAGGAGAGCAGAUUUGUGCCCAGUAGUGGUCUCAAUGUAUUGAAAGUUAAUUGGAUUUCCCAAAGUUCUGCUAAUCAACGUGCUGGCCGGGCAGGUCGAACAGGAGCAGGGAAGUGUUACAGGCUUUACUCUGAAGCUGACUUCAGUAUGAUGGAUGUGCAUCAAGAACCUGAGAUCAGGAAAGUUCAUCUUGGCACUGCUGUUCUAAGAAUACUUGCUUUGGGUGUUAAAGAUGCACGGAAAUUUGAGUUUGUUGAUGCCCCAAAUCCCGAAGCAAUCAGUAUGGCUGUGAAGAAUCUUGAACAGUUGGGUGCUGUCAAACAUAGACUUAAUUGCUUUGAGCUGACUGAUACUGGACGCUACCUGGUCAAAUUGGGGAUUGAGCCAAGGCUUGGGAAAAUUAUGCUUGAUUGCUUUGAUGUUGGUUUGAGGAAGGAAGGUGUAGUUCUAGCUGCUGUUAUGGCAAAUUCUAGCAGCAUAUUUUGUAGAGUGGGCACCGAUGAGGAGAAACAUAAAGCUGACCUUCAGAAGGUCCGGUUGUGUCACCGAGAUGGAGAUCUUUUCACUCUACUUGCUGUUUAUAAGAAAUGGGAAGAUGGGCAUGACAACAGAAAUAUGUGGUGCUGGCAGAACAGCAUCAAUGCCAAGACCAUGAGGAGAUGCCAGGAAACCAUAUCAGAACUUGAAAACUGUCUAAAGCAUGAACUGAACAUCAUUAUCCCAAGUUAUUGGCGUUGGAAUCCCGAGGCUCCCACUGUGCAUGAUAAGGAUCUAAAGAGAAUUAUCCUAUCAUCACUUACAGGUAAUCUUGCCAUGUUUUUAGGACAUGAAAGGUUUGGUUACCAGGUGAUUUCGACAGGUCAGGUUGUGAACCUUCAUCCCUCAUCCUCAUUGCUCAAUUAUGGCAUCAAGCCAGAGUGGGUUGUGUUUACAGAAAUUUUGUCAGUCCCGAAUCAAUAUUUGGUAUGUGUAACCGCUGUUGAUCAUGAUGCCUUGUAUACAAUUCACCCGGUGUCUUUCAUUCAGCAUCUGGAGGAACAAAAAUUGCAGAUAAAAGUGAUUAGUGGGCUCGGUACUAACUUACUGAGAAGGUUUUGUGGCAAAUAUGGCCAAAAUCAGCAAAAGAUCAUCUCGCGUCUCAAGGAAGAUUGCAGGGAUGACCGAAUAACUGUUGAAAUUAACUUUCAAAAUAAUGAAGUUGUGUUAUUUGCUACGGAACAGAAUAUGGAAAAAGUCUUUUGCACUGUCAACAGUGCUUUGAAAUGUGAAGGUAAGAUAUUGAGGAACGAGUGCCUAGAGAGAAAUUUAUUUCCUGGGAGGCCUGGCAGUUCUCCUAUUGCACUAUUUGGUUCAGGUGCUGAAAUCAAGCAUUUGGAACUUGGGGGGAGGUAUCUAACAGUAGAGGUUUUGCAUCAAAAUGCUCAUGAUAUCGAUGACAAGGAGCUUAUUUUCUUGGUGGAUAGUAUUGUCUCUGGCGUUGCUAAUUUUCAUAAAUCCACUGGAAGUUUUCGGAUAGCCUCAGAUGGAAUUAAAUGGGGGAAGUUUACAUUUCUGAAACCUGAAAAUGCUGAAGAUGCUGUUUCAAAACUCAAUGGCAUAGAAUUUAAUGGUUCCUCAUUAAAAUUAGUUCCUGUAUGUACUUCCGAUAAUCGAGGAUUACCAUUUCCUGCGGUGAGAGCUAAAUUAUGUUGGCCACGUAGAUACAGCAGUGGACGUGCACUAGUAACAUGUGCCAGCGGGGAAGCUGAAUUUGUUGUAAAUGACUGCUUUGCCCUAGGAAUUGGUGGAAGGUAUAUUAAGUGCAGGGUUAGUACUAAGUAUGAGAAUUGUGUUUUUGCUGAAGGAAUUCCAAUGCAUGUCACUGAGCCAGAACUAUAUGAUGCUUUUCGUAGCACAACAGCAAGGAGAAUCCUUAAUAUCCGUUUGCUCAGGGUCAAGGGAAAUGCCAUAGCUAGCCCCUCUGUUUCUACAUGUGAAGAAGAACUGGUCAGAGAAAUUUCUCCAUUCAUGCCAAAUAAGAGUUUUCCUGGACAGAAUUUUCGUGUUGAGGUGUUUCCUCCGGAGGAAAAUGAUUCACUGACAAGAGCAACUAUAACUUUUGAUGGAAGCCUUCAUCGAGAGGCUGCAAGAGCACUGGACCAUCUUGAAGGGCACUUUCUUCCUUGUUGUCAACCUUGGCAGAUAAUACAGUGCAAUCAUGUGUUCCAUAGCACUCUGUCCUGUCCGGUACGUGUUUACAAUGUUAUCAGCCAGGAAGUUGCUUCUCUGCUUGAGAGUUUCCAAAGCCAAAAAGGUGUAUCUUACAAUUUUGAAAAGACCGAGAAUGGCAUUUUUCGAUUAAAGCUCACAGCAAAUGCCACGAAAACAAUAGCAGAUUUGAGAAGGCCACUUGAGAUUUUGAUGAAAGGCAAAACCAUAAACCACCCUGAUCUGACAUUAAGUGCAGUUCAACUGCUCUUGUCCCGUGAUGGUGUAGCACAUUUGAAAUCAAUUGAACAAGAAACUGGUACUUACAUUAUGUAUGACAGGCAAAGUCUAAAUAUUAAAGUCUUUGGACACCAAGAACAGAUGGCUGCAGCGGAGGUGAAAUUGGUUCAUGCACUUCGACAACUACUUGAGAAGAAGCCUCUUGAAAUUUGUCUUCGUGGCCACAACCUCCCUCCAGACUUGAUGAAGAAAACGGUAGAAAACUUUGGAGUUGAUCUGGAAGGGUUUAACAAAGAGAUGCCUGAGAUAAAGGUUGAGUUACACCAACACCGCCAUUUACUUAAAGUUUGGGGCAGUAAGGAGGAUAAGCGAAGGGUGGAAAGGAUGAUCUUUGAGUUAGCCUCCUUUAAACACAGUUCCCUGGUUCAACUUGCAUCAGAGAAUGUUGGAGGCAAAGAAGAUAAUCAAAGGGUGGAUUACAGUGAGCCGUCAGAGGAUGCAUGCCCUAUUUGCUUGUGUGAGAUAGAAGAUCCUUUUAGGCUUGAAUCAUGUGGGCACAUGUUUUGUCUGGCUUGUCUGAUGGAUCAGUGUGAAUCUGCGAUGAAAUCACAUGAUGGGUUCCCUAUUUGUUGCCUGAAAACUGGGUGCAAGGAGCCUCUCCUUGUUGUAGACCUGAAGCAUCUCCUGUCAAAUGAGAAGCUGGAGGACCUAUUCAGAGCUUCCUUGAGGGCAUUUGUUGCAUCUAGAGCAGGAAUGUACCGCUUCUGCCCAACACCUGAUUGCCAAUCCAUCUACCAAGUGGCAGCUCCAGAUGCAGAAACCAAACCUUUUUCUUGUGGGGCUUGCUAUGUGGAGAUAUGCACCAAGUGUCAUUUCGAGUAUCAUCCUUUCAUAUCAUGUGAGGCUUACAAAGAAUACAAGGAAGACCCAGACUCGACGCUGCUUGAAUGGCGCAAAGGGAAGGCGAAUGUGAAGAGCUGCCCUUCCUGUGGAUACACAAUUGAGAAAGCUGAUGGCUGCAACCAUGUUGAGUGCAGGUGCGGCAGCCACAUUUGCUGGGUUUGUUUGGAGAACUUCAGGAGCAGCGAGGAGUGUUAUGGCCAUCUCAGGUCUGUGCACCAGUCCUUUGUGGACAUUGUGUAA